GGACUCGUAGCUCAGUUGGUUAGAGUACUACGUUGACAUCGUAGGGGUCACUGGUUCGAAUCCAGUCGGGUCCA
This 74-nucleotide transfer RNA is filed under the name bacterium. RNAcentral describes it as "tRNA-Val". It matches the Rfam family "tRNA". From Rfam's summary of the family: Transfer RNA (tRNA) molecules are approximately 80 nucleotides in length. The record is from RNAcentral.